AGUUUAAAACACAGAUUCAUUUUAGUUUUAGACUUUUAGUAGUGACAACUGAGUGACUGACAAGUGAGUAGCAAUGGCGAGGAGCAGCAAAAUGAGUUUCCUCCAACGCCUUCUUCACGGUCCCUCCAAAUCCCCAUUUCUCACACCACCAUCACCACACUAUUCAACCUCUUAUUCUUAUUGUUCAAAGCAAGAAAGUUCCCAUCCCCAAACACGUCCUUAUCCUCCUCUAACACAACAACAACUCUCCAAUCUCAACCACCUCCUCCCCCGCCUCCUCUCUCAACCGGACCACCUCCCCACCGCCCUCCGCCUCACCUCCGCCGUCCUCCACACCACUACUCCUCUCCACGCUCUCCCUCUCUCCCCACUUAUUCACUCCCUCACCUCCCACCCGGACACCUCCCCUACCUUCUCCCUCCUCACGCGCCUUCGCCACGCGCCUCAAAUCCACCACCACAUUUCCCCAAUCGCCCUCAUGCUCCUCACUUCCUACUUCAACAACCGCAUGUGCAAGCCCGCCCUCGCCGUCUUCCGCUGGCUCCGCCGCCCUGACUCCCCCUCCCCCCCGACCAGGCAGGUCUACGAGGUCGUCGUCGAAGGUCUUUGCAGGAACGGAUUCGUGUUCGAGGGUUUAUCGGCGGCGAGGGACAUGGUGGUGGCUGGCGAGGGGGUGGCUUCUUCUUGUGGCGGCUUGAGGGAGUGGAUUUAUCGGGGGAUGUUGAAGGAGGCGAGGGUGGAGGAUGCGGUGGAGUUGAACGAUGCAAUUUUGGGAUUCGAGAAAUGCGGCGGCAGUGAUGAUGAGGAAGAAUCUAAGGAGAGGGUUUUGGCGGUGCUGGAACGCGUCAUUGCUCGGUGGAAUGAGUAGAAACAGUUCAUUGUUUGAAAAGAAACAAACUAAAGAAGCAUCAAAGUGGUAAAGAAUGGACUUUGAAAUGUGAAGGAAAAACCAAUUGGAGAUAUUGAUCCUUCAACUAAGAAUACAUAACCGGCUAAACUGGCAGCUGCAACAACUGCUAUCACCAAAAAUGCGAGGAACCGCCCAAAUCUUGAUCCACUUCUUUCUGCAUUGUUAACAGGUCCAAAAGCUGUAAAAUAAGGCAAGGCAAGUCUCAGCAACACCAUGAAAAAACUGGAAUAUCUCUUUGAUUAUCACAGAUAAAACAUGUAAGAAAACAAGUUUCCUCUUAAAUAGGGAAUGGAGAUCAUGUAAUGAGUUUCUUCUUUUCUUGUUCUUCAGUAGUAUGUUCACUCUAUUAUGUAUUAACCGUGGACCCCCUGGAUUAGAUGUUUGAGCUUUGAAUAUUUUACUAAUAUUGACAUACGAAUGUUUUGUAUUAUUAUAGAGCAAAACAGGACACCGAAAAAAAAAAGAGAAAAAA
Molecule: non-coding RNA, 1382 nt
Organism: Arachis ipaensis
Lineage: Eukaryota; Viridiplantae; Streptophyta; Magnoliopsida; Fabales; Fabaceae
Source: RefSeq, a predicted model, not a curated record